RNAcentral lists this ribosomal RNA (262 nucleotides) under uncultured bacterium. Its description in RNAcentral is "partial 16S rRNA". It matches the Rfam family "Bacterial small subunit ribosomal RNA", at positions 1156 to 1416 of the family's 1533-position model. The record is from RNAcentral.
GUGUAANGUGGAGGAAGGUGGGGANGANGUNAAGUCAGCANGGCCCUUANGUCNUGGGNGACACACACGNUACAAUGGCUGGGACAACGGGACGCCAACCCGNGAGGGGGAGCCAAUCCCAGCAAACCCAGUNUCAGUUCGGAUGGCAGGUUGCAACCCGCCUGCCUGAAGUGGGAGUUGCUAGUAACCGUGAGUCAGCACAUCACGGUGAAUACGUUCCCGGGUUUUGUACACACCGCCCGUCACACCACGAAAGUCGGCA